GGAAGAGAAGCGACACACAAAAUGAGGUCUUCUCGUUUAAUAGUAUAGAUAUCAUUAAAACAAGACUUAAAAGUUAGCAAAAUUAUUUGACCAAUGCUUGGUAGGCUUGUUGACCCACUGGAUUGGAUAUUGCUCAUUAUUGAAGCCUGUUAAGUUGCCUAUAGCUGCUGACAUGGAUGUCUUUUCGUCUUAGAUGGAUAGUUGUCUCAGUGGCAAUC
Molecule: long non-coding RNA, 218 nt
Filed under: Mytilus galloprovincialis (Mediterranean mussel)
Lineage: Eukaryota; Metazoa; Mollusca; Bivalvia; Mytilida; Mytilidae
Source: RNAcentral